GCCUGGCUGGCUCAGUAGGUAGAGUGUCUGAAUCUUGAUCUCAAAGUCGUGAGUUCAAGCCCCAUGAUGGGCA
RNAcentral lists this transfer RNA (73 nucleotides) under Felis catus (domestic cat). It matches the Rfam family "tRNA". From Rfam's summary of the family: Transfer RNA (tRNA) molecules are approximately 80 nucleotides in length. Their secondary structure includes four short double-helical elements and three loops (D, anti-codon, and T loops). The record is from Rfam by way of RNAcentral. Lineage: Eukaryota; Metazoa; Chordata; Mammalia; Carnivora; Felidae. RNAcentral also lists the same sequence under 3 other names.